ACGAACGCUGGCGGCGUGCUUAACACAUGCAAGUCGAACGGUGAAGGUGGAGCUUGCUCUGCUGGAUCAGUGGCGAACGGGUGAGUAACACGUGAGCAAUCUGCCCCGAACUCUGGGAUAACCACGGGAAACCGUGGCUAAUACUGGAUAUGUCGAGUGACCGCAUGGUCUGCUCGUGGAAAGAUUUUUCGGUUCGGGAUGAGCUCGCGGCCUAUCAGCUUGUUGGUGAGGUAAUGGCUCACCAAGGCGACGACGGGUAGCCGGCCUGAGAGGGUGACCGGCCACACUGGGACUGAGACACGGCCCAGACUCCUACGGGAGGCAGCAGUGGGGAAUAUUGCACAAUGGGCGCAAGCCUGAUGCAGCAACGCCGCGUGAGGGAUGACGGCCUUCGGGUUGUAAACCUCUUUUAGUAGGGAAGAAGCGAAAGUGACGGUACCUGCAGAAAAAGCACCGGCUAACUACGUGCCAGCAGCCGCGGUAAUACGUAGGGUGCAAGCGUUGUCCGGAAUUAUUGGGCGUAAAGAGCUCGUAGGCGGUUUGUCGCGUCUGCUGUGAAAUCCCGAGGCUCAACCUCGGGCCUGCAGUGGGUACGGGCAGACUAGAGUGCGGUAGGGGAGAAUGGAACUCCUGGUGUAGCGGUGGAAUGCGCAGAUAUCAGGAAGAACACCGAUGGCGAAGGCAGUUCUCUGGGCCGUAACUGACGCUGAGGAGCGAAAGCGUGGGGAGCGAACAGGAUUAGAUACCCUGGUAGUCCACGCCGUAAACGUUNNNNGCUAGAUGUGGGGACCAUUCCACGGUUUCCGUGUCGCAGCUAACGCAUAAG
Molecule: ribosomal RNA, 826 nt
Filed under: bacterium
Lineage: Bacteria
Description: bacterial SSU rRNA
Rfam family: Bacterial small subunit ribosomal RNA
Source: RNAcentral